CCUACGGGAGGCAGCAGUAGGGAAUCUUUCACAAUGGGCGAAAGCCUGAUGGAGCAACGCCGCGUGCAGGAUGAAGGCCUUCGGGUUGUAAACUUCUUUUAUAAGCGAGAAAUAUGAUGGUAACUUAUGAAUAAGGAUCGGCUAACUACGUGCCAGCAGCCGCGGUCAUACGUAGGAUCCGAGCAUUAUCCGGAGUGACUGGGUGUAAAGAGUUGCGUAUGUGGCAUAAUAAGUAGCUAGUGAAAUCUGGUGGCUCAACCAUUCAGACUAUUAGCUAAACUGUUAAGCUCGAGAACGUUAGAGGUAAGUGGAAUUUCUAGUGUAGGAGUGAAAUGCGUAGAUAUUAGAAAGAACACCGAUAGCGUAGGCAGGUUGCUGGGACGGUUCUGACACUAAGGCACGAAAGCGUAGGGAGCAAACGGGAUUAGAUACCCGAGUAGUC
RNAcentral lists this ribosomal RNA (442 nucleotides) under uncultured bacterium. Its description in RNAcentral is "partial 16S ribosomal RNA". It matches the Rfam family "Bacterial small subunit ribosomal RNA", at positions 338 to 795 of the family's 1533-position model. The record is from RNAcentral.